RNAcentral lists this ribosomal RNA (254 nucleotides) under uncultured bacterium. RNAcentral describes it as "partial 16S ribosomal RNA". It matches the Rfam family "Bacterial small subunit ribosomal RNA", at positions 524 to 776 of the family's 1533-position model. The record is from RNAcentral.
UACGGAGGGUGCGAGCGUUGUCCGGAAUCAUUGGGCGUAAAGGGCGCGUAGGUGGCCCGGUCAGUUCGUGGUGAAAGCGCGGGGCUCAACCCUGCGUCGGCCAUGAAUACUGCCGCGGCUGGAGCACUGUAGAGGCAGGCGGAAUUCCGCGUGUAGCAGUGAAAUGCGUAGAUAUGCGGAGGAACACCGAUGGCGAAGGCAAGCCCCUGGGCCUGCACUGACGCUCAUGCACGAAAGCGUGGGGAGCAAACAGG